Molecule: non-coding RNA, 785 nt
Filed under: Pan troglodytes (chimpanzee)
Lineage: Eukaryota; Metazoa; Chordata; Mammalia; Primates; Hominidae
Source: RNAcentral
CACUCUUGUGGCCCAGUCCGGAGUGCAGUGGCACCAUCUCAGCUCAUUGCAACCUCCGCCUCCCCGGUUCAAGCGAUUCUCCUGCCUCAGCCUCCCGAGUAGCUGGGAUUACAGGUACCCGCCACCAUGCCCAGAAGGAGAAUCCAGUCAUGGAAUAUUAUGGUGGCAAUUGCUUCCAACUGGAACCAGUUAUCAAAAUGUGGCAGGAAAAUCUGGCCUGGUGAAGAAAGAGAAGGUGGCGAAGCUGACUCAGUUCAAGUUCAAGAUCUGCUAUUAAUGUGCAUGUCACUGAACACAAAUCAUUACAUUUCCCUGAGCUUCAGUUUUGUUUUUCAAAUUGGAAUAAUUGGAUAAUUAGAUCUCUAAAGCAUACAUCAUCAGUAGAAAAUGAGCAACUUCUCAUUUGGCCUAACACUUUGAGUGGGAAAAUAAACUCAUUUAUGUGUAGUGAUAUUCUACUACUCCCUUAUAGAGUAAACAGUUACGUAAAUGCAAGUCAUUUUGAUUUUUCACAGAAUAGGAUCCCUUUAAAAUAGAUCUAUAUCAAGUCUCAUCCACAAUUAUUUUCUCACAGCUCUGUAUUAUUUGACUGACACACUUUGAAAACAUAGUUUCCAGAGAUCUCACAUAUUUAUUUUAUAUUUAUCUCUUUAACAAGCUAGAAUUUAUAUUGAUAUAUGAGAUAAGGCUAUUAGCAAAUUUAAUUUAAUUUUUCUACAGUUUUCAACCAGUUGUUCCCAUGCUAAAUAGUUCAUCUUUCUCCCAUUGAUUUAUUGUAUCAACUU